This 423-nucleotide ribosomal RNA is filed under the name uncultured bacterium. RNAcentral's name for it is "bacterial SSU rRNA". It matches the Rfam family "Bacterial small subunit ribosomal RNA", at positions 358 to 773 of the family's 1533-position model. The record is from RNAcentral.
GGAAUAUUGGACAAUGGGCGAAAGCCUGAUCCAGCCAUGCCGCGUGUGUGAAGAAGGUCUUCGGAUUGUAAGGCACUUUAAGUUGGGAGGAAGGGUAGUAACUUAAUACGUUGCUAUUUUGACGUUACCGACAGAAUAAGCACCGGCUAACUUCGUGCCAGCAGCCGCGGUAAUACGAAGGGUGCAAGCGUUAAUCGGAAUUACUGGGCGUAAAGCGCGCGUAGGCGGUUAUGGAAGUUGGAUGUGAAAGCCCCGGGCUCAACCUGGGAACUGCGUCCAAAACUGGCAAGCUAGAGUACGGUAGAGGGUGGUGGAAUUUCCUGUGUAGCGGUGAAAUGCGUAGAUAUAGGAAGGAACACCAGUGGCGAAGGCGACCACCUGGACUGAUACUGACACUGAGGUGCGAAAGCGUGGGGAGCAAAC